UGGGGAAUAUUGCACAAUGGGGGAAACCCUGAUGCAGCGACGCCGCGUGAAGGAAGAAGUAUCUCGGUAUGUAAACUUCUAUCAGCAGGGAAGAUAGUGACGGUACCUGACUUAAGAAGCCCCGGCUAACUACGUGCC
This 138-nucleotide ribosomal RNA is filed under the name uncultured bacterium. RNAcentral describes it as "partial 16S ribosomal RNA". It matches the Rfam family "Bacterial small subunit ribosomal RNA", at positions 355 to 509 of the family's 1533-position model. The record is from RNAcentral.